RNAcentral lists this long non-coding RNA (229 nucleotides) under Lathyrus oleraceus (garden pea). RNAcentral describes it as "Pisum sativum (pea) long non-coding RNA (PSAT_LNC001534)". The record is from RNAcentral. Lineage: Eukaryota; Viridiplantae; Streptophyta; Magnoliopsida; Fabales; Fabaceae.
AAGAAGAGUCUUUGUCUUUCUCUUUUUUGUUUCUUUUUCUAUUGGUAGGUGGGAGAGCGAGAGUGUUGAGUUGGUUUUGUGAGUGAGAGAAGAGAGUGUGGUAGGUGAGGGAGAUACGUGUGAGAGAAGAGGGAGUAGGGGAUAUAGGUUGUUAUUAGUGGGUGGAGUAAUCCGUGACUGCCUUUUUUAUUUCUCCUUUUUUUUCAUUCAGCUUUUUCUUUCCUCCCUU